Molecule: transfer RNA, 72 nt
Filed under: Ictidomys tridecemlineatus (thirteen-lined ground squirrel)
Lineage: Eukaryota; Metazoa; Chordata; Mammalia; Rodentia; Sciuridae
Description: Spermophilus tridecemlineatus (thirteen-lined ground squirrel) tRNA
Rfam family: tRNA
About the family: Transfer RNA (tRNA) molecules are approximately 80 nucleotides in length. Their secondary structure includes four short double-helical elements and three loops (D, anti-codon, and T loops).
Source: Rfam by way of RNAcentral
GGGAAUAUAGUUCAGUGAUAGAGGGCCUGCCUUGCAUGCAUGAGGCCCUGGGUUCGACCUCUAGUUUCCCCU